GAGCCUCUGCGACGUUAGUACGAGCCGAAGAAUUAUUGAGCCAACACCUUCAAUGAGGGAGCCUUACAUGUGCCUGUGGCCGCCAUGCCUCAGGGGUGAGGAUCGCGAUAAGCAGGCAUGCGGGCACCCACCUAACGCCGAAGGUUCAAUAACAACGGCUUCUACGGCGGAGCGGAGGCUCG
RNAcentral lists this non-coding RNA (182 nucleotides) under Bacillota bacterium. Its description in RNAcentral is "Firmicutes bacterium (sediment metagenome) 6S RNA". It matches the Rfam family "6S / SsrS RNA". Rfam says of the family: E. coli 6S RNA was the first non coding RNA to be sequenced, but its function was unknown until recently. Lineage: Bacteria; Bacillati; Bacillota. RNAcentral also lists the same sequence under 4 other names. The record is from RNAcentral.